Molecule: ribosomal RNA, 774 nt
Filed under: Helicotylenchus vulgaris
Lineage: Eukaryota; Metazoa; Nematoda; Chromadorea; Rhabditida; Hoplolaimidae
Description: eukaryotic LSU rRNA
Rfam family: Eukaryotic large subunit ribosomal RNA
Source: RNAcentral
UUACAAGUACCCGUGAGGGAAAGUUGCAAAGCACUUUGAAGAGAGAGUUAAAGAGGACGUGAAACCGAUGAGGUGGAAACGGACAGAGCUGGCGUAUCUGGCCUGCAUUCAGCCGUGCCCCGCUGGCGUCAGGGAUGCCGCUCUCCAGAUUGGGACGGUGGCCUGUCUGCCGGCGGGUUUGUGGUGCAUUUGCAGGUGGAGUGCGCCGAGGCGCUCGGUGCAGCGGCAUGAGCUUGGCUUUGAGGCCAGCCCCUCACGGGGUCUGGUACCCGGGCCAGGGGAGUGCUGUUUGUGCUGGGCGACAGCCAUGGGCAAUGGACUCGGGCUCGUGUGGGUGCCGAGCUGGAGGUCGGCGUCGGUCGCUUGCGACACGUGCCGGCACUCAGUUCGGUCCUGCUCGAGCUCACAUCUGCCCGUCCUCGGUGUAAAAGCCGGUCAUCUGUCCGACCCGUCUUGAAACACGGACCAAGGAGUUUAGCGUGUGCGCGAGUCAUUGGGCGUUGAAAACCCAAAGGCGUAAUGAAAGUGAAGGUCUCCCUUGCGGAGCUGACGUGUGAUCCUGGGCACCGCGGUGCGCCGGGCGCAACAUGGUCCCGUCCCGAUUGCUUGCAAUGGGGCGGAGACAGAGCGUACGCGCUGAGACCCGAAAGAUGGUGAACUAUUCCUGAGCAGGAUGAAGCCAGAGGAAACUCUGGUGGAAGUCCGAAGCGAUUCUGACGUGCAAAUCGAUCGUCUGACUUGUGUAUAUACGCGACUCGAUCUAAGGCCGUGGUC